GCGCGGCUUAACAUGCAAGUCGAACGGUGAAGCCAAGCUUGCUUGGUGGAUCAGUGGCGAACGGGUGAGUAACACGUGAGCAACCUGCCCUGGACUCUGGGAUAAGCGCUGGAAACGGUGUCUAAUACUGGAUAUGAGGCGUGAUCGCAUGGUCAUGUUUGGAAAGAUUUUUCGGUCUGGGAUGGGCUCGCGGCCUAUCAGCUUGUUGGUGAGGUAAUGGCUCACCAAGGCGUCGACGGGUAGCCGGCCUGAGAGGGUGACCGGCCACACUGGGACUGAGACACGGCCCAAACUCCUACGGGAGGCAGCAGUGGGGAAUAUUGCACAAUGGGCGCAAGCCUGAUGCAGCAACGCCGCGUGAGGGAUGACGGCCUUCGGGUUGUAAACCUCUUUUAGCAGGGAAGAAGCGUGAGUGACGGUACCUGCAGAAAAAGCGCCGGCUAACUACGUGCCAGCAGCCGCGGUAAUACGUAGGGCGCAAGCGUUAUCCGGAAUUAUUGGGCGUAAAGAGCUCGUAGGCGGUUUGUCGCGUCUGCUGUGAAAUCCCGAGGCUCAACCUCGGGCCUGCAGUGGGUACGGGCAGACUAGAGUGCGGUAGGGGAGAUUGGAAUUCCUGGAGUAGCGGUGGAAUGCGCAGAUAUCAGGAGGAACACCGAUGGCGAAUGCAGAUCUCUGGGCCGUAACUGACGCUGAGGAGCGAAAGGGUGGGGAGCAAACAGGCUUAGAUACCCUGGUAGUCCACCCCGUAAACGUUGGGAACUAGUUGUGGGGACCAUUCCACGGUUUCCGUGACGCAGCUAACGCAUUACGUUCCCCGCCGGUGGGAGUACAGCCGCAGGGCUAAAACUCAAAGGAAUUGACGGGGACCCGCACAAACGGCGGAACAUGCGGAUUAAUUCGAUGCAACGCGAAGAACCUUACNNAGGCUUGACCUACACNACAACACCGUAGAAAGANAGGACUCUUUGGACACUGNNGAACAGGUGGUGCAUGGUUGUCCGUCAGCUCGUGUCGUGAGAUGNUGGGUUAAGUCCCGCAACNAGCGCAACCUCCGUUCAUGUUGCCAGCANGUANUGUUGGGAACUCAUGGGAUACUGCCGGGAUCACUCGGAAGAAAGGGGGGAUGACGUCANNNAUNUGCCCUUAGUNUGGGUUUNGCAUGCUAAAUGCCCGUAAAAGGGCUGCAAACCGUAGGUGGACCAAUCCAAAAACC
Molecule: ribosomal RNA, 1213 nt
Filed under: Microbacterium sp.
Lineage: Bacteria; Bacillati; Actinomycetota; Actinomycetes; Micrococcales; Microbacteriaceae
Description: bacterial SSU rRNA
Rfam family: Bacterial small subunit ribosomal RNA
Source: RNAcentral